UACGUAGGGUCCGAGCGUUAUCCGGAAUUACUGGGCGUAAAGAGUUCGUAGGCGGAUUUUUAAGUCGGAUGUUAAAUAUGCAGGCUCAACUUGCAUGCUGCAUCCGAUACUGGAAGUCUUGAGAGUGGAAGAGGUAAGCGGAAUUUCCGGUGGAGCGGUAAAAUGCGUAGAUAUCGGAAGGAACACCAAUGGCGAAGGCAGCCUACUGGGCCAUUUCUGACGCUGAGGAACGAAAGCGUGGGGAGCAAACAGG
Molecule: ribosomal RNA, 253 nt
Filed under: uncultured bacterium
Lineage: Bacteria
Description: partial 16S ribosomal RNA
Rfam family: Bacterial small subunit ribosomal RNA
Source: RNAcentral